RNAcentral lists this ribosomal RNA (500 nucleotides) under uncultured bacterium. RNAcentral's name for it is "partial 16S ribosomal RNA". It matches the Rfam family "Bacterial small subunit ribosomal RNA", at positions 30 to 523 of the family's 1533-position model. The record is from RNAcentral.
AUUGAACGCUGGCGGCAUGCCUUACACAUGCAAGUCGAACGGCAGCACGGGAGCAAUCCUGGUGGCGAGUGGCGAACGGGUGAGUAAAGUAUCGGAACGUGCCCAGUCGUGGGGGAUAACGUAGCGAAAGUUACGCUAAUACCGCAUACGAUCUAUGGAUGAAAGCGGGGGAGCGCAAGACCUUGCGCGAUUGGAGCGGCCGAUAUCAGAUUAGGUAGUUGGUGGGGUAAAGGCUCACCAAGCCGACGAUCUGUAGCUGGUCUGAGAGGACGACCAGCCACACUGGGACUGAGACACGGCCCAGACUCCUACGGGAGGCAGCAGUGGGGAAUUUUGGACAAUGGGCGAAAGCCUGAUCCAGCCAUGCCGCGUGCAGGAUGAAGGCCUUCGGGUUGUAAACUGCUUUUGGACGGAACGAAAAGGUUUGGCCUAAUAAGCUGAGCUCAUGACGGUACCGUAAGAAUAAGCACCGGCUAACUACGUGCCAGCCGCCGCAGUAA